Molecule: long non-coding RNA, 680 nt
Organism: Ictalurus punctatus (channel catfish)
Lineage: Eukaryota; Metazoa; Chordata; Actinopteri; Siluriformes; Ictaluridae
Source: Ensembl
AUCGCGAGAGUUCACCUGCGAGCAGCGCGAUUUACAACGCGAUGCAGGUGCUUCUUAUGAAGUGUGGGAACCGGGAAGUUCUUGUGCAUGAAGCAAGACUUUAAGUUUAAAGUCACAGUGGAGCCACUGAGCAGUGAGACUAAGCGUACUCGUCAGGCUUACAUCUGAAGACCAAACAUCUGUGGUGAAGUUCAUCGCGGUGUGGUUAUGAAGAAGCUCGUGAAUAUGAUCUGUCAUACGGUUGUAUAACUCCGUGCAAGGUGAUGUGAUGUUGAUUCUCAAGAUUGUCUUCACUAUACAGGGUCCCUGGGAACCUGGAGCCUAUCCCAGGAAGCAUCGUGCACAAGGCGGGGUACAAAACAAAUGAAGUAAAUCUCUUUUGGAAGAAUAAUGCUUCAGUACAGUUCUAGAGACUUUUAAAAUCUACACCAAGGUGUACUGAAAAUGUUUUUGGCAAUGUUCUACUAAGACACUUUAUAUUGGUUUUUGCUUUAAUUUGUCACCCAUCUGUUAUUAUGUUAUAUAUAAAUAUUCACAACAGUAAGAUUUAAAAGCAAGGCAAUUGUUAUAAGUGCUGUCUUUGCUUGAUAGGCCAUACUUGCCUGUAGUGCAGCCAUUAGCAUCCUUUUAGCAUGUCUCCACGUGUCUUGCAGUGCUUCUUUAAAGCUGUCUGUCAUGAG